ACUUUCUUAAUAUAAUUAAUAUAUAUGACUUCCAAUCAUAUUAUCUUGGUUGAACCCCAAGAGUAAGUA
Molecule: transfer RNA, 69 nt
Filed under: Hydrophylax leptoglossa (Assam forest frog)
Lineage: Eukaryota; Metazoa; Chordata; Amphibia; Anura; Ranidae
Description: tRNA-Gly
Rfam family: tRNA
About the family: Transfer RNA (tRNA) molecules are approximately 80 nucleotides in length.
Source: RNAcentral